GCAAGGUUAACCGAAUAGGGGAGCCGGAGGGAAACCGAGUCUUAAUUGGGCGUUAAGUUGCAGGGUAUAGACCCGAAACCCGGUGAUCUAGCCAUGGGCAGGUUGAAGGUUGGGUAACACUAACUGGAGGACCGAACCGACUAAUGUUGAAAAAUUAGCGGAUGACCUGUGGCUGGGGGUGAAAGGCCAAUCAAACCGGGAGAUAGCUGGUUCUCCCCGAAAGCUAUUUAGGUAGCGCCUCGUGAAUUCAUCUCCGGGGGUAGAGCACUGUUUCGGCUAGGGGGCCAUCCCGGCUUACCAACCCGAUGCAAACUGCGAAUACCGGAGAAUGUUAUCACGGGAGACACACGGCGGGUGCUAACGUCCGUCGUGAAGAGGGAAACAACCCAGACCGCCAGCUAAGGUCCCAAAGUCAUGGUUAAGUGGGAAACGAUGUGGGAAGGCCCAGACAGCCAGGAUGUUGGCUUAGAAGCAGCCAUCAUUUAAAGAAAGCGUAAUAGCUCACUGGUCGAGUCGGCCUGCGCGGAAGAUGUAACGGGGCUAAACCAUG
This 550-nucleotide ribosomal RNA is filed under the name Salmonella enterica. Its description in RNAcentral is "partial 23S ribosomal RNA". It matches the Rfam family "Bacterial large subunit ribosomal RNA", at positions 640 to 1191 of the family's 2925-position model. Lineage: Bacteria; Pseudomonadati; Pseudomonadota; Gammaproteobacteria; Enterobacterales; Enterobacteriaceae. The record is from RNAcentral. RNAcentral also lists the same sequence under 1 other name.